RNAcentral lists this ribosomal RNA (242 nucleotides) under uncultured bacterium. RNAcentral describes it as "partial 16S rRNA". It matches the Rfam family "Bacterial small subunit ribosomal RNA", at positions 505 to 746 of the family's 1533-position model. The record is from RNAcentral.
GUGCCAGCAGCCGCGGUAAUGCGUAGGUGGCAAGCGUUAUCCGGAAUUAUUGGGCGUAAAGCGCGCGCAGGUGGUUUCUUAAGUCUGAUGUGAAAGCCCACGGCUCAACCGUGGAGGGUCAUUGGAAACUGGGAGACUUGAGUGCAGAAGAGGAAAGUGGAAUUCCAUGUGUAGCGGUGAAAUGUGUAGAGAUACGGAAGAACACCAGUGGGGAAGGCGACUUUCUGGUCUGUAACGGACAC